Molecule: ribosomal RNA, 433 nt
Filed under: uncultured bacterium
Lineage: Bacteria
Description: partial 16S ribosomal RNA
Rfam family: Bacterial small subunit ribosomal RNA
Source: RNAcentral
AGCGAACGCUGGCGGUAGGCUUAACACAUGCAAGUCGAGCGGGCACUUCGGUGUCAGCGGCAGACGGGUGAGUAACACGUGGGAACGUACCCUUCGGUUCGGAAUUAUGCUGGGAAACUAGCGCUAAUACCGGAUACGCCCUUUUGGUGAAAGGUUUACUGCCGGAGUAUCGGCCCGCGUCUGAUUAGCUAUUCGGUAUGGUAAUGGCCUACCAGGGCGACGCUCAGUAGCUGGUCUGAGAGGCAGAUCCGCCACACUUGGACUAAGACACGGUCGAGACUACUGCGGAAGGGAGCCGUGGGGGAUAUAGGCAAAUCGCCGCAAGCAUGAACGAGCCCGGCCGCGUGAGCGCUGAAGGCCUUAGGGUUGUAAAGCUCUUUUGUACGCGACGAUACUGACGGUACCGGAAGAAUAAGCACCGGCUAACUUCGUG